UGCAAGUCGAACGGUAGCACAGAGAGCUUGCUCUCGGGUGACGAGUGGCGGACGGGUGAGUAAUGUCUGGGAAACUGCCUGAUGGAGGGGGAUAACUACUGGAAACGGUAGCUAAUACCGCAUAACGUCGCAAGACCAAAGAGGGGGACCUUCGGGCCUCUUGCCAUCAGAUGUGCCCAGAUGGGAUUAGCUAGUAGGUGGGGUAACGGCUCACCUAGGCGACGAUCCCUAGCUGGUCUGAGAGGAUGACCAGCCACACUGGAACUGAGACACGGUCCAGACUCCUACGGGAGGCAGCAGUGGGGAAUAUUGCACAAUGGGCGCAAGCCUGAUGCAGCCAUGCCGCGUGUAUGAAGAAGGCCUUCGGGUUGUAAAGUACUUUCAGCGGGGAGGAAGGUGUUGUGGUUAAUAACCACAGCAAUUGACGUUACCCGCAGAAGAAGCACCGGCUAACUCCGUGCCAGCA
Molecule: ribosomal RNA, 466 nt
Filed under: uncultured Pantoea sp.
Lineage: Bacteria; Pseudomonadati; Pseudomonadota; Gammaproteobacteria; Enterobacterales; Erwiniaceae
Description: bacterial SSU rRNA
Rfam family: Bacterial small subunit ribosomal RNA
Source: RNAcentral